This 301-nucleotide ribosomal RNA is filed under the name uncultured bacterium. RNAcentral's name for it is "partial 16S ribosomal RNA". It matches the Rfam family "Bacterial small subunit ribosomal RNA", at positions 509 to 807 of the family's 1533-position model. The record is from RNAcentral.
CAGUCGCCGCGGGAAUACGAAGGGUGCAAGCGUUAAUCGGAAUUACUGGGCGUAAAGCGCGCGUAGGUGGUUUGGUAAGAUGGAUGUGAAAUCCCCGGGCUCAACCUGGGAACUGCAUCCAUAACUGCCUGACUAGAGUACGGUAGAGGGUGGUGGAAUUUCCUGUGUAGCGGUGAAAUGCGUAGAUAUAUGAAGGAACACCAGUGGCGAAGGCGACCACCUGGACUGAUACUGACACUGAGGUGCGAAAGCGUGGGGAGCAAACAGGAUUAGAUACCCCUGUAGUCCCUGUCUCUUAUAC